This 376-nucleotide unclassified non-coding RNA is filed under the name uncultured Pseudobdellovibrionaceae bacterium. RNAcentral describes it as "uncultured Bdellovibrionaceae bacterium contains 16S-23S intergenic spacer region". Lineage: Bacteria; Pseudomonadati; Bdellovibrionota; Bdellovibrionia; Bdellovibrionales; Pseudobdellovibrionaceae. The record is from RNAcentral.
UCCGACUUAACGUCGGCAGUCCGUUUAGAGUGCCCAACUGAAUGCUGGCAACUAAACGCAAGGGUUGCGCUCGUUACGGGACUUAACCCAACAUCUCACGACACGAGCUGACGACAGCCAUGCAGCACCUCUAAUGAUGUCCCGAAGGACAAUUUUAUCUCUAAAAUCUUCAUCAUCAGUUCGAGCCCAGGUAAGGUUUUUCGCGUUGCAUCGAAUUAAACCACAUGCUCCACCGCUUGUGCGGGCCCCCGUCAAUUUCUUUGAGUUUUAAUCUUGCGACCGUACUUCCCAGGCGGGACACUUAACGCGUUAGCUUCGGCACUGAAGGGGUCAAUACCUCCAACACCAAGUGUCCAUCGUUUACAGCGUGGACUAC